AAAGAACUGGAACAAAUGCUCAAACUGUUUGAAAAUACCCAGAAGAUAAAUAUGGGGGCUGCUGAACACAGAUAAACCAUGUCCUUCUCAGAUUUUCAGGCUAACACAACCCAGACUGUGCUGCCUAAUGUCACGGAUCCUGAGCUACCAGAGACUUGCACCCCCAGCCACCCGGAGAUGCUGCACCCACUACCUUUUACAUACCUAACUCAUAGAUCUCCAGGACAUGUGAUAGCAAGCAAGAGUGGCUUAUAAGGACUUAGAAUCAGCACCUACAGCUGCAGGUAGGGUUACGCCUGAAUCACUGCCAAUCACUGAAUCACUGAAUCACUGGCAACGCUAUUUCCUUCUUUUUGCUACAUUAAUCUAUGG
RNAcentral lists this long non-coding RNA (372 nucleotides) under Struthio camelus australis. RNAcentral's name for it is "lncRNA (ENSSCUG00000017214.1)". Lineage: Eukaryota; Metazoa; Chordata; Aves; Struthioniformes; Struthionidae. The record is from RNAcentral.